UCGAGGGGACAGAUGGGAGCUUGCUCCCUGAUGUUAGCGGCGGACGGGUGAGUAACACGUGGGUAACCUGCCUGUAAGACUGGGAUAACUCCGGGAAACCGGGGCUAAUACCGGAUGGUUGUUUGAACCGCAUGGUUCAAACAUAAAAGGUGGCUUCGGCUACCACUUACAGAUGGACCCGCGGCGCAUUAGCUAGUUGGUGAGGUAACGGCUCACCAAGGCAACGAUGCGUAGCCGACCUGAGAGGGUGAUCGGCCACACUGGGACUGAGACACGGCCCAGACUCCUACGGGAGGCAGCAGUAGGGAAUCUUCCGCAAUGGACGAAAGUCUGACGGAGCAACGCCGCGUGAGUGAUGAAGGUUUUCGGAUCGUAAAGCUCUGUUGUUAGGGAAGAACAAGUACCGUUCGAAUAGGGCGGUACCUUGACGGUACCUAACCAGAAAGCCACGGCUAACUACGUGCCAGCAGCCGCGGUAAUACGUAGGUGGCAAGCGUUGUCCGGAAUUAUUGGGCGUAAAGGGCUCGCAGGCGGUUUCUUAAGUCUGAUGUGAAAGCCCCCGGCUCAACCGGGGAGGGUCAUUGGAAACUGGGGAACUUGAGUGCAGAAGAGGAGAGUGGAAUUCCACGUGUAGCGGUGAAAUGCGUAGAGGAUGUGGAGGAACACCCAGUGGCGAAGGCGACUUUUUUGGUCUGUAACUGACGCUGAGGAGCGAAAGCGUGGGGAGCGAACAGGAUUAGAUACCCUGGUAGUCACGCCGUAAACGAUGAGUGCUAAGUGUUAGGGGGUUUCCGCCCCUUAGUGCUGCAGCUAACGCAUUAAGCACUCCGCCUGGGGAGUACGGUCGCAAGACUGAAACUCAAAGGAAUUGACGGGGGCCCGCACAAGCGGUGGAGCAUGUGGUUUAAUUUGAAGCAACGCGAAGAACCUUACCAGGUCUUGACAUCCUUUGACAAUCCUAGAGAUAGGACGUCCCCUUCGGGGGCAGAGUGACAGGUGGUGCAUGGUUGUCGUCAGCUCGUGUCGUGAGAUGUUGGGUUAAGUCCCGCAACGAGCGCAACCCUUGAUUUUAGUUGCCAGCAUUCAGUUGGGCACUUUAAGGUGACUGCCGGUGACAAACCGGAGGAAGGUGGGGAUGACGUCAAAUCAUCAUGCCCCUUAUGACCUGGGCUACACACGUGCUACAAUGGACAGAACAAAGGGCAGCGAAACCGCGAGGUUAAGCCAAUCCCACAAAUCUGUUCUCAGUUCGGAUCGCAGUUUGCAACUCGACUGCGUGAAGCUGGAAUCGCUAGUAAUCGCGGAUCAGCAUGCCGCGGUGAAUACGUUCCCGGGCCUUGUACACACCGCCCGUCACACCACGAGAGUUUGUAACACCCGAAGUCGGUGAGGUAACCUUUUAGGAGCCAGCCGCCGAAGGUGGGACAGAUGAAUGGGGGAAGUCGUAACAAGGUAG
This 1456-nucleotide ribosomal RNA is filed under the name Bacillus subtilis. RNAcentral describes it as "16S ribosomal RNA". It matches the Rfam family "Bacterial small subunit ribosomal RNA". Lineage: Bacteria; Bacillati; Bacillota; Bacilli; Caryophanales; Bacillaceae. The record is from RNAcentral.